GGGCGUAAGCGCGCGCAGGUGGUUUCUUAAGUCUGAUGUGAAAGCCCCCGGCUCAACCGUGGAGGGUCAUUGGAAACUGGGAGACUUGAGUGCAGAAGAGGAAAGUGGAAUUCCAUGUGUAGCGGUGAAAUGCGUAGAGAUGUGGAGGAACACCAGUGGCGAAGGCGACUUUCUGGUCUGUAACUGACACUGAGGAGCGAAAGCGUGGGGAGCAAACAGGAUUAGAUACCCUGGUAGUCCACGCCGUAAACGAUGAGUGCUAAGUGUUAGAGGGUUUCCGCCCUUUAGUGCUGAAGUUAACGCAUUAAGCACUCCGCCUGGGGAGUACGGCCGCAAGGCUGAAACUCAAAGGAAUUGACGGGGGCCCGCACAAGCGGUGGAGCAUGUGGUUUAUUUCAAAACAACGCGAAGAACCUUACCAGGUCUUGACAUCCUCU
Molecule: ribosomal RNA, 437 nt
Filed under: Bacillus subtilis
Lineage: Bacteria; Bacillati; Bacillota; Bacilli; Caryophanales; Bacillaceae
Description: bacterial SSU rRNA
Rfam family: Bacterial small subunit ribosomal RNA
Source: RNAcentral